GACGAACGCUGGCGGCGUGCUUAACACAUGCAAGUCGAACGGUGAAGCCCUUCGGGGUGGAGCAGUGGCGAACGGGUGAGUAACACGUUAGCAACCUGCCCCUGGCUCUGUGACAACCACUGGAAACAGUGGCUAAUACCGGAUACGACCCGCCUCUGCAUCCAGUGUGGGUGGAAAGUUGUUCGGCUGGGGAUUGGCUCGCGGCCUAUCGACUUGUUUGGGAGGGGAAGGCGCACCAAGGCGACGACGGUUAGCCGGCCUGAGAGGUCGACCACGCACACUGGGACUGCGAGAGGGACCAGAAUCGAAUGGGACGCAGUAGUGGGGAGUCUUGCACAAUGGGCGCAAGCCUGAUGCAGCGACGCCGCGUGAGGGAUGACGGCCUUCGGGUUGUAAACGUCUUUCAGCUCAGAAGAAGCGAUAGUGACGGUAGGAGCAGAAGAAGCAACGGCUAACUACGUG
RNAcentral lists this ribosomal RNA (462 nucleotides) under uncultured bacterium. Its description in RNAcentral is "partial 16S ribosomal RNA". It matches the Rfam family "Bacterial small subunit ribosomal RNA", at positions 28 to 507 of the family's 1533-position model. The record is from RNAcentral.